UGUGAGGGUUGCUGGAGGUAUCAGAAGUGCGAAUGCUGACAUAAGUAACGAUAAAGCGGGUGAAAAGCCCGCUCGCCGGAAGACCAAGGGUUCCUGUCCAACGUUAAUCGGGGCAGGGUGAGUCGACCCCUAAGGCGAGGCCGAAAGGCGUAGUCGAUGGGAAACGGGUUAAUAUUCCCGUACUUGGUGUUACUGCGAAGGGGGGACGGAGAAGGCUAUGUUGGCCGGGCGACGGUUGUCCCGGUUUAAGCGUGUAGGUGUGUGUUCCAGGUAAAUCCGGUUCACUUUAACACUGAGGCGUGACGACGAGGCACUACGGUGCUGAAGCAACAAAUGCCCUGCUUCCAGGAAAAGCCUCUAAGCAUCAGGUAACAUCAAAUCGUACCCCAAACCGACACAGGUGGUCAGGUAGAGAAUACCAAGGCGCUUGAGAGAACUCGGGUGAAGGAACUAGGCAAAAUGGUGCCGUAACUUCGGGAGAAGGCACGCUGACACGUAGGUGAAGUGAUUUACUCAUGGAGCUGAAGUCAGUCGAAGAUACCAGCUGGCUGCAACUGUUUAUUAAAAACACAGCACUGUGCAAACACGAAAGUGGACGUAUACGGUGUGACGCCUGCCCGGUGCCGGAAGGUUAAUUGAUGGGGUCAGCGCAAGCGAAGCUCCUGAUCGAAGCCCCGGUAAACGGCGGCCGUAACUAUAACGGUCCUAAGGUAGCGAAAUUCCUUGUCGGGUAAGUUCCGACCUGCACGAAUGGCGUAAUGAUGGCCAGGCUGUCUCCACCCGAGACUCAGUGAAAUUGAACUCGCUGUGAAGAUGCAGUGUACCCGCGGCAAGACGGAAAGACCCCGUGAACCUUUACUAUAGCUUGACACUGAACAUUGAGCCUUGAUGUGUAGGAUAGGUGGGAGGCUUUGAAGUGUGGACGCCAGUCUGCAUGGAGCCGACCUUGAAAUACCACCCUUUAAUGUUUGAUGUUCUAACGUGGACCCGUUACCCGGGUUGCGGACAGUGUCUGGUGGGUAGUUUGACUGGGGCGGUCUCCUCCUAAAGAGUAACGGAGGAGCACGAAGGUUGGCUAAUCCUGGUCGGACAUCAGGAGGUUAGUGCAAUGGCAUAAGCCAGCUUGACUGCGAGCGUGACGGCGCGAGCAGGUGCGAAAGCAGGUCAUAGUGAUCCGGUGGUUCUGAAUGGAAGGGCCAUCGCUCAACGGAUAAAAGGUACUCCGGGGAUAACAGGCUGAUACCGCCCAAGAGUUCAUAUCGACGGCGGUGUUUGGCACCUCGAUGUCGGCUCAUCACAUCCUGGGGCUGAAGUAGGUCCCAAGGGUAUGGCUGUUCGCCAUUUAAAGUGGUACGCGAGCUGGGUUUAGAACGUCGUGAGACAGUUCGGUCCCUAUCUGCCGUGGGCGCUGGAGAACUGAGGGGGGCUGCUCCUAGUACGAGAGGACCGGAGUGGACGCAUCACUGGUGUUCGGGUUGUCAUGCCAAUGGCACUGCCCGGUAGCUAAAUGCGGAAGAGAUAAGUGCUGAAAGCAUCUAAGCACGAAACUUGCCCCGAGAUGAGUUCUCCCUGAGACUUAAAGUCUCCUGAAGGAACGUUGAAGACGACGACGUUGAUAGGCCGGG
RNAcentral lists this ribosomal RNA (1625 nucleotides) under Salmonella enterica subsp. enterica serovar Enteritidis. RNAcentral's name for it is "partial 23S ribosomal RNA". It matches the Rfam family "Bacterial large subunit ribosomal RNA", at positions 1262 to 2865 of the family's 2925-position model. Lineage: Bacteria; Pseudomonadati; Pseudomonadota; Gammaproteobacteria; Enterobacterales; Enterobacteriaceae. The record is from RNAcentral.